AUUGAACGCUGGCGGCAUGCCUUACACAUGCAAGUCGAACGGCAGCGCGGGAGCAAUCCUGGCGGCGAGUGGCGAACGGGUGAGUAAUACAUCGGAACGUGCCCAAUCGUGGGGGAUAACGCAGCGAAAGCUGUGCUAAUACCGCAUCCGAUCUCCGGAUGAAAGCAGGGGAUCGCAAGACCUUGCGCGAAUGGAGCGGCCGAUGGCAGAUUAGGUAGUUGGUGAGGUAAAGGCUCACCAAGCCUUCGAUCUGUAGCUGGUCUGAGAGGACGACCAGCCACACUGGGACUGAGACACGGCCCAGACUCCUAAGGGAGGCAGCAGUGGGGAAUUUUGGACAAUGGGCGAAAGCCUGAUCCAGCCAUGCCGCGUGCAGGAUGAAGGCCUUCGGGUUGUAAACUGCUUUUGUACGGAACGAAACGGUCUUUUCUAAUAAAGAAGGCUAAUGACGGUACCGUAAGAAUAAGCACCGGCUAACUACGUG
RNAcentral lists this ribosomal RNA (484 nucleotides) under uncultured bacterium. RNAcentral's name for it is "partial 16S ribosomal RNA". It matches the Rfam family "Bacterial small subunit ribosomal RNA", at positions 30 to 507 of the family's 1533-position model. The record is from RNAcentral.